Molecule: long non-coding RNA, 519 nt
Filed under: Marmota monax (woodchuck)
Lineage: Eukaryota; Metazoa; Chordata; Mammalia; Rodentia; Sciuridae
Source: RNAcentral
UUUUUUAAUUUUUUUUCGAUGUAUGGACCUGUAUUUUAUCCAUUUAUUUACAUUCGAUGCUGAGAAUCAAACCCAGGGCCUCACACAUGUUAGGCAAGUGCUGUUACCACUGAGCCACAACUCCAGCCCCUUAUGUCUGUCUUUUGCACCUCAGAACCCACAGGACCUCGAGUUCUCUGUGCACUCAGCACAUGCUCAGUAAAUAUCUGCUGAGUGGAUGGAGUAGGAGGCUAUGUAGGGGUGACAUCGCAGCAAGGAAGGCUUUCCAGAGGAAGGAAGUGCAGCUGAGACUGCAGGGCCUUAGUGCAGGAGUCACCCUGGAAGGGAAAGGCCAGUCCAUACAGAAGGACCUAGAAAACAACAACAGAAAAGGGAUAUAGGAAGGUCCAAAGUGUGGAGCAUUCUGGAAACUGUAAAUUGUUCAAUUUGACUGGGGUAGAAGCUGGGCAGGGUCAGAAAUCAGAGGAGCUGGAGAAGUAGAAGGCAGGACACUUGGCCUUAUUACUCCCUGAAGAAUUG